RNAcentral lists this ribosomal RNA (378 nucleotides) under uncultured bacterium. RNAcentral describes it as "bacterial SSU rRNA". It matches the Rfam family "Bacterial small subunit ribosomal RNA", at positions 521 to 896 of the family's 1533-position model. The record is from RNAcentral.
UAAGACGAACCGUGCGAACGUUAUUCGGAAUCACUGGGCUUAAAGCGCGUGUAGGCGGGACGGCACGUCUGUCGCUGAAAUCCCCCGGCUUAACCGGGGAACUGGCGGAGAUACGACCGUCCUGGAGGGGCGUAGGGGGACCUGGAACUUCCGGUGGAGCGGUGAAAUGCGUUGAGAUCGGAAGGAACGCCCGUGGCGAAAGCGAGGUCCUGGACGCCUACUGACGCUGAGACGCGAAAGCCAGGGGAGCGAACGGGAUUAGAUACCCCGGUAGUCCUGGCCGUAAACGAUGGGCACUGGGUAGGGGGCUCGCCGAUGGGCUCCCUGCCGAAGGGAAACCGUGAAGUGCCCCGCCUGGGGAGUAUGGUCGCAAGGCUG